This 261-nucleotide ribosomal RNA is filed under the name uncultured bacterium. Its description in RNAcentral is "partial 16S ribosomal RNA". It matches the Rfam family "Bacterial small subunit ribosomal RNA", at positions 99 to 354 of the family's 1533-position model. The record is from RNAcentral.
CGAACGGGUGAGUAACACGUGGGCAACCUGCCCAAAANAGGGGGAUAACACUUGGAAACAGGUGCUAAUACCGCAUAACCAUAGUUACCGCAUGGUAACUAUGUAAAAGGUGGCUAUGCUACCGCUUUUGGAUGGGCCCGCGGCGCAUUAGCUAGUUGGUGGGGUAAAGGCCUACCAAGGCAAUGAUGCGUAGCCGAACUGAGAGGUUGAUCGGCCACAUUGGGACUGAGACACGGCCCAAACUCCUACGGAAGGCAGCAG